Molecule: ribosomal RNA, 649 nt
Filed under: uncultured bacterium
Lineage: Bacteria
Description: bacterial SSU rRNA
Rfam family: Bacterial small subunit ribosomal RNA
Source: RNAcentral
CAUUGAUACUGUCAGUCUUGAGUAUAGUUGAAGUGGGCGGAAUGUAGCAUGUAGCGGUGAAAUGCAUAGAUAUGCUACAGAACACCAAUAGCGAAGGCAGCUCACUAAGUUAUAACUGACGCUCAUGCACGAAAGCGUGGGGAUCAAACAGGAUUAGAUACCCUGGUAGUCCACGCUGUAAACGAUGAUCACUCGUUGUUGGCAAUACAUCGUCAGCGACUAAGCGAAAGUGAUAAGUGAUCCACCUGGGGAGUACGGUCGCAAGAUUGAAACUCAAAGGAAUUGACGGGGGCCCGCACAAGCGGUGGAGCAUGUGGUUUAAUUCGAUGAUACGCGAGGAACCUUACCUGGGCUCAAACGCAUGAUGACGUAUGGUGAAAGCUAUAUUUCUUCGGACAUUAUGCGAGGUGCUGCAUGGUUGUCGUCAGCUCGUGCCGUGAGGUGUCGGGUUAAGUCCCAUAACGAGCGCAACCCCUAUCAUUAGUUGCCAUCAGGUCAAGCUGGGGACUCUAAUGAAACUGCCUACGCAAGUAGUGAGGAAGGCGGGGAUGACGUCAAAUCAGCACGGCCCUUACGUCCAGGGCUACACACGUGCUACAAUGGCCAGUACAAAGGGCAGCUACCUGGUGACAGGAUGCUAAUCUCAAAA